UGGCGAACGGGUGAGUAACACGUGGGUGAUCUGCCCUGCACUUCGGGAUAAGCCUGGGAAACUGGGUCUAAUACCGGAUAGGACCACAUUUUGGAUGGUGUGGUGGAAAGUUUUUCGGUGUGGGAUGAGCUCGCGGCCUAUCAGCUUGUUGGUGGGGUAAUGGCCUACCAAGGCGUCGACGGGUAGCCGGCCUGAGAGGGUGGACGGCCACAUUGGGACUGAGAUACGGCCCAG
This 234-nucleotide ribosomal RNA is filed under the name uncultured Actinomycetales bacterium. RNAcentral's name for it is "partial 16S ribosomal RNA". It matches the Rfam family "Bacterial small subunit ribosomal RNA", at positions 96 to 334 of the family's 1533-position model. The record is from RNAcentral. Lineage: Bacteria; Bacillati; Actinomycetota; Actinomycetes; Actinomycetales.